CGCCUCUUGACUCUUAUAAGAGGUCCAGCCUGCCCAGUGACCAUGUUCAACGGCCGCGGUAUCCUAACCGUGCGAAGGUAGCGUAAUCACUUGUUCUUUAAAUGCGGACUAGUAUGAAUGGCACCACGAAGGUUAUACUGUCUCCUUUUUCUAAUCAGUGAAACUAAUCUCCCCGUGAAGAAGCGAGGAUAUACCUAUAAGACGAGAAGACCCUAUGGAGCUUUAAACAACACAGCAAUUACCUGCUAAACUAAGAAGUUUCUGAACAUUUUCAAUCUUUUAAGUAAUCUGACUGCAAGUUUUUGGUUGGGGUGACCAUGGAGCAUAACACAACCUCCAUGUUGAAAGAAUUCUUUCUAAGCCAAGAACAACCUUUCUAAGCAUCAAUAUAUUGACAUCCAUUGACCCAAUACAUUUGACCAACGAACCAAGUUACCCUAGGGAUAACAGCGCAAUCCACUUCAAGAGCUCCUAUCGACAAGUGGGUUUACGACCUCGAUGUUGGAUCAGGGUAUCCCAGUGGUGCAGCCGCUACUAAAGGUUCGUUUGUUCAACGAUUAAAACCCUA
RNAcentral lists this ribosomal RNA (568 nucleotides) under Rhinella marina (marine toad). RNAcentral's name for it is "partial 16S ribosomal RNA". It matches the Rfam family "Bacterial large subunit ribosomal RNA", at positions 1829 to 2598 of the family's 2925-position model. The record is from RNAcentral. Lineage: Eukaryota; Metazoa; Chordata; Amphibia; Anura; Bufonidae.